CUGUGUCCCUAUGUGGUGCUUUCGUCGAGAGUAUCUUUAUUUGUUUGAGACUAUGUAAUAAUUAUUAUUCCAUUAUGUAAUAAACAUUGUGAUGGUACUAUUUGAGAUUUGUCAACUUAUGGGUGUGACUGUUUCUGGGGCGCACAUGAGUCUUUUAUGCACUCUAUUUCAUUCUUGAAAUUUGGGUGUGACAUUUUUGCAUGGGCACAUGUAUCCUUUGAAUAUAAUAAUUGAUCAGAGAGGUAAUAAUAAGAACUU
RNAcentral lists this long non-coding RNA (258 nucleotides) under Sorghum bicolor (sorghum). Its description in RNAcentral is "long non-coding RNA (SBIC_LNC006314)". The record is from RNAcentral. Lineage: Eukaryota; Viridiplantae; Streptophyta; Magnoliopsida; Poales; Poaceae.